AUUCCAGCUCCAAUAGCGUAUAUUAAAGUUGUUGCAGUUAAAAAGCUCGUAGUUGGAUUUGUGGUAGCUCUUGGGGCCCAAUUUUGGUGCCUUUGAGAGAUGCCAUCCUUGGGUGGAAUUUGUGUGGCAUUAAGUUGUCGUGCAAGGGAUGCCCAUCAUUUACUGUGAAAAAAUUAGAGUGUUCAAAGCAGGCUUAUGCCAUUGAAUAUAUUAGCAUGGAAUAAUACGAUAGGACCUCGGUACUAUUUUGUUGGUUUGCGCACUGAGGUAAUGAUUAAUAGGGACAAUUGGGGGUAUUCGUAUUCCAUUGUCAGAGGUGAAAUUCUUGGAUUUUUGGAAGACGAACUACUGCGAAAGCAUUUACCAAGGAUGUUUUC
This 377-nucleotide ribosomal RNA is filed under the name Diploneis sp. DM-MEX008. RNAcentral's name for it is "SSU rRNA". It matches the Rfam family "Eukaryotic small subunit ribosomal RNA", at positions 582 to 971 of the family's 1831-position model. The record is from RNAcentral. Lineage: Eukaryota; Bacillariophyta; Bacillariophyceae; Diploneidales; Diploneidaceae.